UGGCUCAGAGGGUAAAGCAUCUGCCUGCAAUGUGGGAGACCAGGGUUCGAUUCCCUG
This 57-nucleotide transfer RNA is filed under the name Ovis aries (sheep). It matches the Rfam family "tRNA", at positions 8 to 63 of the family's 71-position model. Rfam says of the family: Transfer RNA (tRNA) molecules are approximately 80 nucleotides in length. Their secondary structure includes four short double-helical elements and three loops (D, anti-codon, and T loops). Lineage: Eukaryota; Metazoa; Chordata; Mammalia; Artiodactyla; Bovidae. The record is from Rfam by way of RNAcentral.